CACAAACAAGGCAGAUCAUAAUCUUUAAUUGUUUUAGAUUUUGAUUUAUGUAGAGAAAAUGAUGCAAAGUUUUGAGAUGACCAAGAUGAAGUGCAGUAUGAUGAUAGCUUUAAAGAGCUUGAAUCAUAUGCAGUUCUAAAGAAUUGUAUCCAUGAUUUACCAGAGAUUCUAAGUCCUCAACGCCCAGUUACGUAGCAUGGUCUAUUCCAAUUCUUAUUUAAAGGGAUGAUGCAAAACCCAGAAUUUCUUUGUAGUUGGCUUCUACUGAGACUAUGCAGGUGUGUACUCGGAAAAGUUUGUGAAGGGCCAAUGGGAAAAGGUGAUUGCAUUUCAGAUUGGCAGAAAUACAAGGGUUUUCGUUUGCCGGACAAUGAUAGGCGAAUCACCAUAUGAAGUAGCAAUUCUGCUGCACACUGAAUGCAGGAUGACUAACCUAGAGUCUCAACUAAUUGAAAACACUUGCAGAGGAAGACAUAGAAUAGAGAACCCCUCUACAUAGUGAAGAUGGAGAUGAGCUCGAGAGUAAUGAAGUAGGAAAAUCUACAUCCCAGGAAGUUAGUCUUUUCAAACAGUAGAUAUGUAUACAUGUAAAUAGCACAAGACUUACUAUAACAUGAAAAGCAUCAUAUAAAAUAUGUUAUAAAUGUAAACAACACUGUAAAUAGUAUCAGCUUUUGUAAUUAACACCGUAAAAAAUUUCAUCAAUUUGUGUAAACAUAUUAUAUAUAUAAAUAAUAAUACC
RNAcentral lists this small RNA (742 nucleotides) under Malus domestica (apple). Its description in RNAcentral is "sRNA MD01G0035800". The record is from RNAcentral. Lineage: Eukaryota; Viridiplantae; Streptophyta; Magnoliopsida; Rosales; Rosaceae.